RNAcentral lists this ribosomal RNA (1450 nucleotides) under Salmonella enterica subsp. indica serovar 45:a:e,n,x. RNAcentral's name for it is "partial 23S ribosomal RNA". It matches the Rfam family "Bacterial large subunit ribosomal RNA", at positions 711 to 2141 of the family's 2925-position model. The record is from RNAcentral. Lineage: Bacteria; Pseudomonadati; Pseudomonadota; Gammaproteobacteria; Enterobacterales; Enterobacteriaceae.
AGACCCGAAACCCGGUGAUCUAGCCAUGGGCAGGUUGAAGGUUGGGUAACACUAACUGGAGGACCGAACCGACUAAUGUUGAAAAAUUAGCGGAUGACCUGUGGCUGGGGGUGAAAGGCCAAUCAAACCGGGAGAUAGCUGGUUCUCCCCGAAAGCUAUUUAGGUAGCGCCUCGUGAAUUCAUCUCCGGGGGUAGAGCACUGUUUCGGCUAGGGGGCCAUCCCGGCUUACCAACCCGAUGCAAACUGCGAAUACCGGAGAAUGUUAUCACGGGAGACACACGGCGGGUGCUAACGUCCGUCGUGAAGAGGGAAACAACCCAGACCGCCAGCUAAGGUCCCAAAGUCAUGGUUAAGUGGGAAACGAUGUGGGAAGGCCCAGACAGCCAGGAUGUUGGCUUAGAAGCAGCCAUCAUUUAAAGAAAGCGUAAUAGCUCACUGGUCGAGUCGGCCUGCGCGGAAGAUGUAACGGGGCUAAACCAUGCACCGAAGCUGCGGCAGCGACACUUAAGUGUUGUUGGGUAGGGGAGCGUUCUGUAAGCCGUUGAAGGUGUGCUGUGAGGCAUGCUGGAGGUAUCAGAAGUGCGAAUGCUGACAUAAGUAACGAUAAAGCGGGUGAAAAGCCCGCUCGCCGGAAGACCAAGGGUUCCUGUCCAACGUUAAUCGGGGCAGGGUGAGUCGACCCCUAAGGCGAGGCCGAAAGGCGUAGUCGAUGGGAAACGGGUUAAUAUUCCCGUACUUGGUGUUACUGCGAAGGGGGGACGGAGAAGGCUAUGUUGGCCGGGCGACGGUUGUCCCGGUUUAAGCGUGUAGGCUGGUUUUCCAGGCAAAUCCGGAAAAUCAAGGCUGAGGCGUGACGACGAGGCACCACGGUGCUGAAGCAACAAAUGCCCUGCUUCCAGGAAAAGCCUCUAAGCUCCAGGUAACACGAAAUCGUACCCCAAACCGACACAGGUGGUCAGGUAGAGAAUACCAAGGCGCUUGAGAGAACUCGGGUGAAGGAACUAGGCAAAAUGGUGCCGUAACUUCGGGAGAAGGCACGCUGACACGUAGGUGAAGUGAUUUACUCAUGGAGCUGAAGUCAGUCGAAGAUACCAGCUGGCUGCAACUGUUUAUUAAAAACACAGCACUGUGCAAACACGAAAGUGGACGUAUACGGUGUGACGCCUGCCCGGUGCCGGAAGGUUAAUUGAUGGGGUUAUCCGUAAGGAGAAGCUCCUGAUCGAAGCCCCGGUAAACGGCGGCCGUAACUAUAACGGUCCUAAGGUAGCGAAAUUCCUUGUCGGGUAAGUUCCGACCUGCACGAAUGGCGUAAUGAUGGCCAGGCUGUCUCCACCCGAGACUCAGUGAAAUUGAACUCGCUGUGAAGAUGCAGUGUACCCGCGGCAAGACGGAAAGACCCCGUGAACCUUUACUAUAGCUUGACACUGAACAUUGAGCCUUGAUGUGUAG